Molecule: long non-coding RNA, 3115 nt
Organism: Neopelma chrysocephalum (saffron-crested tyrant-manakin)
Lineage: Eukaryota; Metazoa; Chordata; Aves; Passeriformes; Pipridae
Exons: 3
Source: RefSeq, a predicted model, not a curated record
UUAGAAGGGGAUGUGUGCACUGCAAUCUGGUUUUGCUACUGAUGAGACUUGGCGUUGCAAUCCUGGCUCUUCUACUUAAAACGUCAAAGACAAAUCCAUACCACCAGGAAAAUAACACAAAAUACUGCUUGUGGGUAUUCAAUUUCAGGAUUAUGAACUAGAAAAAAAAAACCCUAAACAAAACAACCACACGCCAAAGCAGCUGAAUUGAUCUAUCACAACUGGGAUCUUUUCAUUUUUUGUUUGUUAUGUAAACUGCGUGACGGCCUCGCUUCCUGACGGUGGGAAAAAUCUCCUGAGAAGAAACGUGUCUUUCGCUUCCUCUGGGAAUGCUCAGUACCCUGGAGAUUCUUCUUGCUUGACAUUUUGUUUCUCAAGUGACUGCUGGACCUUUGCUCGGAGGAGAUAAGUAAUUUUUUUUCCCUGACUACAAGUAGUACAUGUAAUUAUGUAAUUGUAAGGCUCUUACGCUUAAGGCUAAACUGGUUUAUGAGAGGGGAUAUACAGGGGUUUGUCCUCCCAGGGCUUUUCUGAGCAAGACUGAUCUGGACUGGCUACAUUUUGGUGGCAGGUAGCAUGGCAAGCUCAGGAAACCCCAACUCAUUACUGGGCCACUGUCCAUCCCUGCUCUCAUACCUUGUCCCACAGGGAAUUUGGGGGCCAGAGCUGACAGACUGUGCCAAACAGAGCAUAAGGUGCCAGUGGUGAUCUGUGCCUGCUGUAAUUAUGAUGCAUUUAAUAUGUCAUUGAACCAGCAACAAACUCUGCUCUGUUUAUAAAAUGAAAGAAGAUAUUUGUUCUAUAUUCUGGAAAUGCAGCAUAGUUAGUGUGAAGAAUGGUUGUAACAUAUGUUGGGGUUGCAUCUGGAAAGCCUGAAGUCCUCCACAGAACUCCAGGUUCAGAUUAUAUCAGAACAAAUAGCAAAGUUUAAUUAAACUCUAAUUAAACCUUUUUUUUCUACCUGAUAGUGUUUUCAAUAUGAGCUGCUCGUAUUCACCACAUUUGGAAGGUUCAUAGGAAAGACAGGUCUAAUAGGUGAUCCAAACAGCCUAUCUAAAUUUAUUUUCAUCAUACAGUUUUCACAUCUGGCAUUUCAAACAGCACCAGUCUACUCUGCAGUGUCUGGAGUUCUGUCUCUACACAAAAGAAGACAAUUAUUUCAAAACCACGAGGUAUAAAACAAGGAAACCCAAAUCCUGCUCUCUUACUAGAUUAGUGAUGUAUCUUUUUUUCAUUAUUCAUUGAGAUCCUGUUGCUACAUAACCUUCCUUUUUCUUUUUAUCAGAAACCUGUGAAACAGAAGUACCUUGCUGCCAUAUGGAAAGAAAGGGCAGCUAGAAUCUUCCUACCAUUUCCUUUGCAUUGAAAUGUCUAAACAGAGAUGCUGCUGGUUGUAAGUUUAGGGUUAAGAAGAUCCCUGGGAUUGGAAGGCACACAGCCACGCUGCUUGGGAAGGGCUGCUUCAGGAUUAGGAAAACUCCCUUGCCAGACAGAUUUGUGCUACUUUUCCUUUGGAGUGCUCUUCCUGCCUGGACCCUUAAGCAUAUAUUUAACUGCAGAGACUUCCUUGAGAAUCCUCCUAAUUUGGAGGGGGCUUAACAUGAGUGUACAGGGAUUGCUGAACUGUUUAGGAUUUCAGAGGUGCCUAAGGUGUUUCAUGGAAUUCACAGACUGGUUUGGGUUGGAAGGGACCUUAAAGACCAUCUAGUUCAAACCCCCUGCCAUGGGCAGGGACACCUUCCACUUGACCAGGUUGCUCAGAUUCCCAUACAGCCUGCCUAUAUGUGUGGAUAACAGCAUUCCCAGUCUUUUAAUUAUGUUAUAUUUAUUCACAUUAGCAGACAGUACUCUAUAAUUCACACUGUAUUAGGUACCUAUGUCUUAGCAUAUCAUUCCAAGCACAAUAACUGGAAUGCAGCACUUGCAGAUCUCCCUUUCAGAAGUUUUUGAUCUGAAAUAAACCAUGAAGACAGUUUAUUUAUUCUACCAAAAAGAAUAGUUUGCCUAGUAAGAAAUGUUUUUAAAACUGAACAGCUGACAUUCAGUUCUUCUUUCCUUAAAAGCCAGCCAUCCCUUGACUUCUUCAGUGCAUUCCCAGGUAGUCUGGUUCCAUGGAGGAGCUGCCUUCUCCUCCCUUGGAUGAUGUGUUCCUACAAGCCUCCUGUCUCCAGUAUCUCUGGUCUCCUCCUUGCCCUGUCAUUGUCUCAUUACAAUACUCCCUGUGUGCUGAAGGUGGCUUGUCCUACCAUUUUUCUCUUUUUUGCCCAGCAGCCCUUUGUUGAUCUGAUUCACCGUAAUGGCCCAGCCAACACCGUAGGAACUGUUCCAGCAUUCACUACCCAGAGAGAAUCCAGGUUGUCCAUGCUCAGUCAGAGGAUACAAGGGACCUGUUCCUGCUCAGAGCGUGUGGAAGACCCUCACAUUGCAACAAUCAAUCAUUUUGCAAGAGGAAAAGCAAAAGCCAUGGAAGGGAAGACGGAAUCUGCUUCUCCUUUGACAGUCCUUUGAACUGUGCUCUGGCAGCUCUGAGCAAGCCUUCCCCGGGGGGAAAUCAGGCACAUGUGCUUCUGAGAGCAAGAUCCAGAGCUGAUCCUUGCUGCUGCUGUGAAGUUCACACAGCCAUGGCAUUCGACCCAGCUGGAAGGGAGCCCCUGCCUGAUGUGACAGGGCAGCACGUAGCUGUGUGGUCGCUGCUGAAUUCGUGACUUAAAUGCAUGUCCCUCACGGUGUGUGCCUUUGAAAACCCAGAUCUCUGAAUGAAACCAUUUGCAGCCCUUGGGCUUGAAGAGCAACCUGCUGCAGAGACCUGAUGUCCCCACCCUCCUCAGGGUGCACCCUGUCGAGGCCCUGCUUCUGUCCCUGGCUCACACAAAAUGUUUCCAAAGAGAGCAUAAGAAAUCCUGAAGGUGACAGCCAUGGAAUGACCUGCCAACAGGGAAAGUUUCCUCCAAAGCUUAUUACUCAGAUGUUGGCUGCGACCCUGGAGCAUUAAUCUUGAUAUCCCCUAAAAUCUGCUUUUGUACAGCAUCUGACUUAACCACGUAUCAAACAGACAACCUCAAAGAAAUUCACAGCCCUGGAAACGGAGGCCAGAGACAAAUUGUAUAUGUGCUCU